This 318-nucleotide long non-coding RNA is filed under the name Homo sapiens (human). Its description in RNAcentral is "HSALNT0097391". Lineage: Eukaryota; Metazoa; Chordata; Mammalia; Primates; Hominidae. The record is from RNAcentral.
AUCAUGGAGAGGUUGGUAGCCGAGUGAGCAGGGCAGUGGCUCCCACAACUUAAUAUUUAUAUAGAAAAAUCCAGCUGUAAGGAUAGAGAGGAAAAAUGGAGCAGAAAUUGUUGGAGGUCAUCGGAACAGGAGUUGGCAGGUGGUGGGAAGAGGAAGGUGAUGGAACGUGCCUGGCGGCUGGGAAGAGAGAGGGUAACAGCAUCAGGCUCUGAGCUCCACAGAAGCUGGGUAGGAGCUGAAACCAACCCCCAGAGAGAAGACUUUAUGUUCCCGUGGUUGUGGCAUUUCUGGGCCUCCAGUGACAGCUGUUCAGCAGCA